RNAcentral lists this ribosomal RNA (591 nucleotides) under Salmonella enterica subsp. enterica serovar Havana. RNAcentral describes it as "partial 23S ribosomal RNA". It matches the Rfam family "Bacterial large subunit ribosomal RNA", at positions 105 to 737 of the family's 2925-position model. The record is from RNAcentral. Lineage: Bacteria; Pseudomonadati; Pseudomonadota; Gammaproteobacteria; Enterobacterales; Enterobacteriaceae.
CGGCGAUUUCCGAAUGGGGAAACCCAGUGUGAUUCGUCACACUAUCAUUAACUGAAUCCAUAGGUUAAUGAGGCGAACCGGGGGAACUGAAACAUCUAAGUACCCCGAGGAAAAGAAAUCAACCGAGAUUCCCCCAGUAGCGGCGAGCGAACGGGGAGGAGCCCAGAGCCUGAAUCAGCAUGUGUGUUAGUGGAAGCGUCUGGAAAGGCGCGCGAUACAGGGUGACAGCCCCGUACACAAAAGCGCAUGUGCUGUGAGCUCGAUGAGUAGGGCGGGACACGUGGUAUCCUGUCUGAAUAUGGGGGGACCAUCCUCCAAGGCUAAAUACUCCUGACUGACCGAUAGUGAACCAGUACCGUGAGGGAAAGGCGAAAAGAACCCCGGCGAGGGGAGUGAAAAAGAACCUGAAACCGUGUACGUACAAGCAGUGGGAGCACAGGUUUACCUGUGUGACUGCGUACCUUUUGUAUAAUGGGUCAGCGACUUAUAUUCUGUAGCAAGGUUAACCGAAUAGGGGAGCCGUAGGGAAACCGAGUCUUAACCGGGCGUUAAGUUGCAGGGUAUAGACCCGAAACCCGGUGAUCUAGCCAU